Molecule: ribosomal RNA, 500 nt
Filed under: uncultured bacterium
Lineage: Bacteria
Description: bacterial SSU rRNA
Rfam family: Bacterial small subunit ribosomal RNA
Source: RNAcentral
ACUCAAAGGAAUUGACGGGGACCCGCACAAGCAGAGGAGCAUGUGGUUUAAUUCGAAGAUACGCGAAAAACCUUACCAGGACUUGACAUGCCACGCAUAGCCGUGAAAGCGGUGAAAGAUUAGCAAUAAUUCGUGGACACAGAUGGUGCAUGGUUGUCGUCAGCUCGUGUCGUGAGAUGUUCGGUUAAGUCCGUCAACGAGCGCAACCCCUGCUUUCAGUUGCCAGCAUUAAGUUGGGCACUCUGGAGGGACUGCCGUAGUUAAUACGGAGGAAGGUGGGGAUGACGUCAAAUCAUCAUGCCUCUUACGUUCUGGGCUACACACGUGCUACAAUGGUGACUACAAAGAGUUUCGAUAUGGUAACAUGGAGGCAAUCUCAAAAAAGUCAUCUCAAUUCGGAUUGUGGGCUGAAACUCGCCCACAUGAAGUCGGAUUUGCUAGUAAUCCCGAAUCAGCAUGUCGGGGUGAAUGCGUUCCCGGGUCUUGUACACACCGCCCGU